GGCUCUGUAGUGAAGUUCAUGGUGAGUUGCAAGCUCAUUGAUGUGUACUAGUUGUACACCGGAGCCU
Molecule: transfer RNA, 67 nt
Filed under: Garrulus lidthi
Lineage: Eukaryota; Metazoa; Chordata; Aves; Passeriformes; Corvidae
Description: tRNA-Cys
Source: RNAcentral